CCUACGGGAGGCUGCAGUGAGGAAUAUUGGUCAAUGGGCGGGAGCCUGAACCAGCCAAGUCGCGUGAGGGAAGACGGUCCUAUGGAUUGUAAACCUCUUUAGGCGGGGAGCAAUGCCGGGCACGCGUGCCCGGAGGGAGAGUACCCGCAGAAUAAGCAUCGGCUAACUCCGUGCCAGCAGCCGCGGUAAUACGGAGGAUGCGAGCGUUAUCCGGAUUUAUGGGGUUAAAAGGGUGCGUAGGCGGAUUUUUAAGUCAGCGGUAAAAUGUCCGGGCUCAACCCGGGCCGGCCGUUGAAACUGGGGAUCUUGAGUGGGCGAGAAGUAUGCGGAAUGCGUGGUGUAGCGGUGAAAUGCAUAGAUAUCACGCAGAACUCCGAUUGCGAAGGCAGCAUACCGGCGCCCGACUGACGCUGAGGCACGAAAGCGUGGGGAUCGAACAGGAUUAGAUACCCCUGUAGUC
This 460-nucleotide ribosomal RNA is filed under the name uncultured bacterium. RNAcentral's name for it is "partial 16S ribosomal RNA". It matches the Rfam family "Bacterial small subunit ribosomal RNA", at positions 338 to 795 of the family's 1533-position model. The record is from RNAcentral.